CGAAAGCCUGACGGAGCAAUACCGCGUGAGGGAGGAAGGCUCUUGGGUUGUAAACCUCUUUUCUCAGGGAAGAAAAAAAUGACGGUACCUGAGGAAUAAGCAUCGGCUAACUCCGUGCCAGCAGCCGCGGUAAUACGGAGGAUGCAAGCGUUAUCCGGAAUGAUUGGGCGUAAAGGGUCCGCAGGUGGCUAUGUAAGUCUGCUGUUAAAGAACUUAGCUUAACUAGGUAAAGGCAGUGGAAACUACAAGGCUAGAGUGCGUUCGGGGUAGAGGGAAUUCCUGGUGUAGCGGUGAAAUGCGUAGAUAUCAGGAAGAACACCAGUGGCGAAGGCGCUCUACUAGGCCGCAACUGACACUGAGGGACGAAAGCUAGGGGAGCG
Molecule: ribosomal RNA, 380 nt
Filed under: uncultured cyanobacterium
Lineage: Bacteria; Bacillati; Cyanobacteriota
Description: bacterial SSU rRNA
Rfam family: Bacterial small subunit ribosomal RNA
Source: RNAcentral